Molecule: ribosomal RNA, 2904 nt
Filed under: Salmonella enterica subsp. enterica serovar Bovismorbificans
Lineage: Bacteria; Pseudomonadati; Pseudomonadota; Gammaproteobacteria; Enterobacterales; Enterobacteriaceae
Description: bacterial LSU rRNA
Rfam family: Bacterial large subunit ribosomal RNA
Source: RNAcentral
UUAAGCGACUAAGCGUACACGGUGGAUGCCCUGGCAGUCAGAGGCGAUGAAGGGCGUGCUAAUCUGCGAUAAGCGCCGGUAAGGUGAUAUGAACCGUUAUAACCGGCGAUACCCGAAUGGGGAAACCCAGUGUGACUCGUCACACUAUCAUUAACUGAAUCCAUAGGUUAAUGAGGCGAACCGGGGGAACUGAAACAUCUAAGUACCCCGAGGAAAAGAAAUCAACCGAGAUUCCCCCAGUAGCGGCGAGCGAACGGGGAGGAGCCCAGAGCCUGAAUCAGCAUGUGUGUUAGUGGAAGCGUCUGGAAAGGCGCGCGAUACAGGGUGACAGCCCCGUACACAAAAGCGCAUGUGCUGUGAGCUCGAUGAGUAGGGCGGGACACGUGGUAUCCUGUCUGAAUAUGGGGGGACCAUCCUCCAAGGCUAAAUACUCCUGACUGACCGAUAGUGAACCAGUACCGUGAGGGAAAGGCGAAAAGAACCCCGGCGAGGGGAGUGAAAAAGAACCUGAAACCGUGUACGUACAAGCAGUGGGAGCACCCUUCGGGGUGUGACUGCGUACCUUUUGUAUAAUGGGUCAGCGACUUAUAUUCUGUAGCAAGGUUAACCGAAUAGGGGAGCCGGAGGGAAACCGAGUCUUAAUUGGGCGUUAAGUUGCAGGGUAUAGACCCGAAACCCGGUGAUCUAGCCAUGGGCAGGUUGAAGGUUGGGUAACACUAACUGGAGGACCGAACCGACUAAUGUUGAAAAAUUAGCGGAUGACCUGUGGCUGGGGGUGAAAGGCCAAUCAAACCGGGAGAUAGCUGGUUCUCCCCGAAAGCUAUUUAGGUAGCGCCUCGUGAAUUCAUCUCCGGGGGUAGAGCACUGUUUCGGCUAGGGGGCCAUCCCGGCUUACCAACCCGAUGCAAACUGCGAAUACCGGAGAAUGUUAUCACGGGAGACACACGGCGGGUGCUAACGUCCGUCGUGAAGAGGGAAACAACCCAGACCGCCAGCUAAGGUCCCAAAGUCAUGGUUAAGUGGGAAACGAUGUGGGAAGGCCCAGACAGCCAGGAUGUUGGCUUAGAAGCAGCCAUCAUUUAAAGAAAGCGUAAUAGCUCACUGGUCGAGUCGGCCUGCGCGGAAGAUGUAACGGGGCUAAACCAUGCACCGAAGCUGCGGCAGCGACGUUUAUGCGUUGUUGGGUAGGGGAGCGUUCUGUAAGCCUGCGAAGGUGGCCUGUGAGGGUUGCUGGAGGUAUCAGAAGUGCGAAUGCUGACAUAAGUAACGAUAAAGCGGGUGAAAAGCCCGCUCGCCGGAAGACCAAGGGUUCCUGUCCAACGUUAAUCGGGGCAGGGUGAGUCGACCCCUAAGGCGAGGCCGAAAGGCGUAGUCGAUGGGAAACGGGUUAAUAUUCCCGUACUUGGUGUUACUGCGAAGGGGGGACGGAGAAGGCUAUGUUGGCCGGGCGACGGUUGUCCCGGUUUAAGCGUGUAGGUGUGUGUUCCAGGUAAAUCCGGUUCACUUUAACACUGAGGCGUGAUGACGAGGCACUACGGUGCUGAAGCAACAAAUGCCCUGCUUCCAGGAAAAGCCUCUAAGCAUCAGGUAACACGAAAUCGUACCCCAAACCGACACAGGUGGUCAGGUAGAGAAUACCAAGGCGCUUGAGAGAACUCGGGUGAAGGAACUAGGCAAAAUGGUGCCGUAACUUCGGGAGAAGGCACGCUGACACGUAGGUGAAGUGAUUUACUCAUGGAGCUGAAGUCAGUCGAAGAUACCAGCUGGCUGCAACUGUUUAUUAAAAACACAGCACUGUGCAAACACGAAAGUGGACGUAUACGGUGUGACGCCUGCCCGGUGCCGGAAGGUUAAUUGAUGGGGUCAGCGCAAGCGAAGCUCCUGAUCGAAGCCCCGGUAAACGGCGGCCGUAACUAUAACGGUCCUAAGGUAGCGAAAUUCCUUGUCGGGUAAGUUCCGACCUGCACGAAUGGCGUAAUGAUGGCCAGGCUGUCUCCACCCGAGACUCAGUGAAAUUGAACUCGCUGUGAAGAUGCAGUGUACCCGCGGCAAGACGGAAAGACCCCGUGAACCUUUACUAUAGCUUGACACUGAACAUUGAGCCUUGAUGUGUAGGAUAGGUGGGAGGCUUUGAAGUGUGGACGCCAGUCUGCAUGGAGCCGACCUUGAAAUACCACCCUUUAAUGUUUGAUGUUCUAACGUGGACCCGUAAUCCGGGUUGCGGACAGUGUCUGGUGGGUAGUUUGACUGGGGCGGUCUCCUCCUAAAGAGUAACGGAGGAGCACGAAGGUUGGCUAAUCCUGGUCGGACAUCAGGAGGUUAGUGCAAUGGCAUAAGCCAGCUUGACUGCGAGCGUGACGGCGCGAGCAGGUGCGAAAGCAGGUCAUAGUGAUCCGGUGGUUCUGAAUGGAAGGGCCAUCGCUCAACGGAUAAAAGGUACUCCGGGGAUAACAGGCUGAUACCGCCCAAGAGUUCAUAUCGACGGCGGUGUUUGGCACCUCGAUGUCGGCUCAUCACAUCCUGGGGCUGAAGUAGGUCCCAAGGGUAUGGCUGUUCGCCAUUUAAAGUGGUACGCGAGCUGGGUUUAGAACGUCGUGAGACAGUUCGGUCCCUAUCUGCCGUGGGCGCUGGAGAACUGAGGGGGGCUGCUCCUAGUACGAGAGGACCGGAGUGGACGCAUCACUGGUGUUCGGGUUGUCAUGCCAAUGGCACUGCCCGGUAGCUAAAUGCGGAAGAGAUAAGUGCUGAAAGCAUCUAAGCACGAAACUUGCCCCGAGAUGAGUUCUCCCUGAGACUUAGAGUCUCCUGAAGGAACGUUGAAGACGACGACGUUGAUAGGCCGGGUGUGUAAGCGCAGCGAUGCGUUGAGCUAACCGGUACUAAUGAACCGUGAGGCUUAACCUU